Non-coding RNA from Salvelinus sp. IW2-2015, 2272 nucleotides. NCBI's taxonomy places the organism in Eukaryota, Metazoa, Chordata, Actinopteri, Salmoniformes, Salmonidae. The record is from RefSeq and is a predicted model, not a curated record.
GCACCAGAGGACCAGGGACAGAGAGAGAGGGAUCUGGGGCAGAUCUGAGAGAUACAAGGACAGAGAGAGAUGGUGGGAGCGAGACAAAGACUGGGAUGGGGACAAGGAAAGCUUCCUGGGGCUUUACCCAUACUCCAAUGAUCCUACACACCCUCAUGCAUCUUUGAUGGCAAACGACUCAGUGCAGUACAUGGCAUACCACGGCAGCCGCUACGCCAGCACCUUCCCUCCAGGGUGUGGCUUUCCCCCUGGUACUAUGUUCCCUGGUACCAUGCCCCCUGGUACAGUGCCCCUGCCCCACUGUACCAGUGCCCCUGGUACAGUGCCCCCAUGCCCCCUGGUACAGUGCCCCCCCUAUCCACUGUACCCCAACUGCCCACCUUAUUACUAUAAUGGCACUUCAGAAACGUUUUUCCAGCCAUACACACAGGCCACUGGAAACCCCCAGUUCACAAACACGGAUGUACAAGUGCAGUACCCAGACGCAUCCCUGAGCAUCCCUGAACAGGACAUAGAGACUGUGUGGCCCAUACUUGUCCAUCCCAGCAUGAACCRAGACUCAAACCCUGCUAGACUAAACCGGUUGAGUAUAAAAAUGCAACUAAAGAGGCAACGCUAUAGGAAUAAUUUGAGUAAUCGCAAAAAUAUACAGGAAUUGAGACAGCUUAAAGAAACUCCUCUGGUGGCUGCCAAGGURCCCCCCUCUGAGCCAGGUACAAAGAAAGUGCCAGAAAUAGAUGCAGUCAUAGAAGGGGAGAAACUGCAUUAUGUGGUCCCUCCUGUGGCUACAAAGGAUUCUGGGGCACCCUAUAGAACAGGAUUCCCAAAUAGAAAAUGGAGAAAAGGGAAAAUAUUGGAAGAAAAAGAAAGUAUAUUCAACCAAGGUUUAUCCAUGAGAAACAGAGCCUAUAUGACAAGGUGGAAAGUGCGUUUUGCAGAAGCGGUUGCAAAAGGCCUUGAGGUCCCCUCUGAACCAGAGCCCAAGACGGAGCCAGAAGCRGAGGACAAAUCAUUGACAGAAUGGCAGAGACUGUUUGCAGACUCUGUGGAGAAUGUGGCCGCAACGGACCUAUUUGCCCUCUCUGAACCAGAGGCUGAGAAAAAGCCUGACUGGGAGACCGAGCAGAAAAGGACAGACGAAGAGAUGAAGGCCAAAUUAAAGAAAAAGCUUGGCGAGUUCAACCUGAAGAUGAAGCAGAAAUCAACGCAUUUAAAAGAAGCCCCAACAGAAGCCCCAACAUAACCUGAAAGGGCGGCUGCUGUAGGUAAAACAUGUGUUCAUAUCACACCUUAAAAAUGCGUCAUGAGCUCACCUCCCCUUCGAACCUGCUGCUGACCCAUCCAGACCCUGUGGACAUCCGUUGGCUAACAUUCUGUUUAUCUAAUAUACACUCACUGGCCAGUUUUUAUUAGGUACAUACCGGGCCGGAUCCUCCUUUUCCUCCAGAACAGCCUGAAUUGUUCGGGGCAUUCUACACGUUGUCUGAAACGUUCCACAGGGAUGYUGGUUCACGCUGACGCGAUGGCAUCACGCAGUUGCUGCAGAUUGGACGGCAAUACAUUCAUGCUGCGAACAGCCCAUUCCAUCUCAUCCCAAAKAGGCUGUACUGGGUUGAGGUCUGAGGACUGCGCAGGCCACUCAAGUAAACUGAACUUGCUGUCAUGCUCCAGGCAAUGUUUUUUCCACUCCUCGAUUGUCCAGUGCUGAUGAUCACAUGCCCWCUGGAGCUGCUGCUUCUUGUUUUUAGCUGGUAAGAGUGGAACCCGGUGUGGUCGUCUGCUGCAAUAGCCCAUCCGUGACACGGAUCGACAAGUUGUGCGUUCUGAGAUGCUGUUCGGCACACCGCUGCUGUACUGCGCCACUAUUUGUCUGUUUGUGGCCCGCCUGUUAGCUUGCACGAUUCUUGCCGUUCUCUUUUGACCUCUCAUCAACGAGUUGUUUUCGCCAACAGGACUGCCGCAGAAUGGAUGUUUCUUUGUUUGUCGCACCAUUCUCGGUAAACUCUAGACACUGUUGUGCCUGAAAAGCCCAGGAAGGUGGCCGUUUCUGAUACAGGAGUGUCUGGCACCGACGAUCAUAACAUGCUUAAAGUCGCUUAGGUCAGUUGUUUUGUCCAUACUAACGUUCAAUGGAACAGUAACUGAAUGCCUCAAUCCMUGUCUCCCUGCUUUAUAUAGCAAGUCACGGSCACGUGACUCACUGUCUGUAAGAGUGGUCCAUUUUCGUAAAUGGAGUGGUGUACCAAAUAAACUGGCCGAUAAGUGAGUUGUU